RNAcentral lists this ribosomal RNA (300 nucleotides) under uncultured bacterium. Its description in RNAcentral is "bacterial SSU rRNA". The stretch from base 1 to 248 matches the Rfam family "Bacterial small subunit ribosomal RNA", at positions 114 to 358 of the family's 1533-position model. The record is from RNAcentral.
CGCGUAUACAAUCUACCUUUUACAGGGGCAUAGCCCGGGGAAACCCGGAUUAAUAUCCCAUGGUAUCAAGACAUGGCAUCAUGAUUUGAUUAAAGCUUCGGCGGUAAAAGAUGAGUAUGCGUCCUAUUAGUUAGUUGGUAAGGUAACGGCUUACCAAGGCAGCGAUAGGUAGGGGUCCUGAGAGGGAGAUCCCCCACACUGGUACGUGAGACACGGACCGACGACUCCUACGGGAGGGCAGCAGUGAGGAAGUAAUUGGUACGAAAUAGGGCGGGAGAAGGCCUCGAUCCACGCCACUGC